ACACGUCUCGGAAAUCACCGCCAGUAUCAACCUGAUUCAGUUCAAUUACUACCAUGCCAGCACAUGCUUCCAAAUCGUACUGAUGUGCGCUUGCCACGAUUCAAGAGCGUGCGGUUGUUCAAUAAUUUGGCUCCACCAGACAGAUCAAUGAAAAUUUUGCUUCAAUCAAACUCAUUAGAAACUUGGCUCCAUGUUCGUGCGUUGAUUGCACUGCUUCCGCUAUUUGAUUAAAUGCAAAUUCAGUUUAGUGAAACUGUAUCAGAAAACCGAUUGUUUUCAGUUCACGAGGAUCUGCUGCUGAUUCGUGGACUCAUCUUCUAUAUCGAUCGUAUCCGUACGACAGUCGGAAGUCUCAGCACUCCAAUUGAGUUGACCGCUACAACUGAAUUCAUUAUGUCUAAACAGAAGUUUAACAGGAUUAAUUACUGAUCAAACAUUAGGUAAUAUAUUCUUAAUCAUGAUCUAAAAUCCUAAUCCGGCCCAAUAACAAAAGAUCCAUAAUAAUCAUAUAAAUAAACAUAAAUUUUAAGAAUAAGAUACGUCAUCUUCCAUACUAAUAGUACUGAGUGUCGAACAUCAAAAUCUCACUUGAAUGUUGGAGUGUUAUUGCAGGUACCAUCCAGACUUGGAGUUUGUGAAGACAAGGACUAAGGAAAUGAAAGGAAAGCAGGGAGACCAUUUCAAGAAAAAUGGAGAAAAAAUAGAUUGAACGACUAAAAAGGAAGGAAAUUGAUCUCUUGAUUUCAACAUGUUCCAAUUUAAUCGCUGUUACAAUCACAAAAUCCUAUAAUGGCCUCAACCAUAAAAUUUUUAAAAAAAAAUACUACAAUUAUAUCCUAAUUCCAAGUCUCCUUAGUGAUUAUUUAUUAUGCCUCAUCCAUGACGGCAUCAUAAUGAAAAUAAGUUUAUGGGACAAAGCGUCCUUUUAAUCUCGAAUGAUCUUGAAGUCAAAGUCUAAUGCUCUAUUACAAUUUCUAAUUUGAGCUUGAAUUAGAACAUUUUUCAACAUUUAAUUGAAAUUGAAUAACAUAUAACAAGACCACACAAACUCAAAGAAGAAGGUUACCACUAAAUACAAACUUAAUCUCAUAAGAUUAUAUGAGUGUUAUUUGUUUUCAUGAGACUAACAAUGAAUGUUAUCACAUUACAAACAUAUUACAAGACAUUAAUCAAUGUGAAUGAACAAAAAAUAGAAGAACAAGACAAAAACUCAAACAAUGAACAAAAAAUAAAACAAAAGGAUGGAUAAACUUAUAGGAAUGGAAGAAGAGUGACACUAGAAGAUGGAGAACUCUUCAUCUUCUUGAUGAAGAAACACCACUUUCCUCUUAAGAGCUCAAGAUAGGAUUCGAGCAAGAAGUCACUCAAACAAGUGUUCUCACAACUCAAGUUUCAUUCAAU
Molecule: long non-coding RNA, 1401 nt
Filed under: Phaseolus vulgaris (common bean)
Lineage: Eukaryota; Viridiplantae; Streptophyta; Magnoliopsida; Fabales; Fabaceae
Description: long non-coding RNA (PVUL_LNC003770)
Source: RNAcentral